This 468-nucleotide ribosomal RNA is filed under the name uncultured bacterium. RNAcentral's name for it is "partial 16S ribosomal RNA". The stretch from base 48 to 468 matches the Rfam family "Bacterial small subunit ribosomal RNA", at positions 35 to 507 of the family's 1533-position model. The record is from RNAcentral.
GGGGGGGGGGGGGGGGGGGGGGGGGGGGGGGGGGGGGGGGGGGGGGGGCGGGCGGGGGGGGGGGGCUCGGGGGGCGGAGGGGGGGGUGGCAGGGGGGUAACCUGCCGUUGACUUUGGGAUAACUUCAGGACACGGGGGCGAAUACCGGGUAGGAGCUCCUGCUGCAUGGUGGGGGUUGGAAAGUUUCGGCGGUUGGGGAUGGACUCGCGGCGUAUCAGCUUGUUGGUGGGGUAGUGGCGUACCAAGGCUUUGACGGGUAGCCGGCCUGAGAGGGUGACCGGCCACAUUGGGACUGAGAUACGGCCCAGACUCCUACGGGAGGCAGCAGUGGGGAAUAUUGCCCAAUGGGCGGAAGCCUGAUGCAGCAACGCCGCGUGCGGGAUGACGGCCUUCGGGUUGUAAACCGCUUUCGCCUGUGACGAAGCGUGAGUGACGGUAAUGGGUAAAGAAGCACCGGCUAACUACGUG